UUUCAGCUGCUGCCUAAGAAGCUUGGCCAUUCCAUGUUGAGCCCAUGCAGAAUGGGAACGUCCUUGCUCCAGCUGGUGCCCUCCUCCAGCACGGUGUAUUCCAGGAAAGAUGGCAUGACCAGUCAGAAGUCACUGCAGAACUGCACAAGAACUUACCAGCCCAGGAGCUGCACUGCCCAUCUGUAACUCCACUGCUUCCAGAGGUAGCCAGUGUCCAGGAGCACCCGAGAGCACCUCCAAGUUGCGCAGUUUGCAGUCUUCUACCAAAGAUGAAACCAAAUUGAGCUACCAAGGAACUAAAUAACUAUGUCCAAGAUCCAAGGAGGGAGAGACUGCUGGGCUCUGCCAAGACUGGUCUCAUCCCCAGACUGCUCCUCUGACCAGGGAAUCAUGUUGUUCCCUUCUAGCCAAUCCCGCCUGCUUCUGAAGAUUGGAUUAGAGGGUUGCC
This is a long non-coding RNA of Corvus hawaiiensis (hawaiian crow), 448 nucleotides long. RefSeq lists it as uncharacterized. The transcript has 3 exons. NCBI's taxonomy places the organism in Eukaryota, Metazoa, Chordata, Aves, Passeriformes, Corvidae. The record is from RefSeq and is a predicted model, not a curated record.